UUGGAGAAGACUCUUGAGAGUUCCUUGGACAGCAAGGAGAUCCAACCUGUCAAAGUUAAAGGAAAUCAGUCCUGAAUAUUCAUUGGAAGGACUGAUGCUGAAGCUGAAACUCCACCUGAUGCAAAGAACAGACUCAUUUGAAAAUACCCUGAUGCUGGGAAAGAUUGAAGGCAGGAGGAGAAGGGGACGAUAGAGGAUGAGAUAGUUGGAUGGCAUCACCAACUCUAUGGACAUGAGUAAACUCCGGGAGUUGGUGAUGGACAGGGAUGGACAGGGAGGCCUGGCGUGUUGCAGUCCAUGGGGUCACAAAGAGUCGGACACGACUGCACGACUGAAUUGAACCAGAGAUCGAACCCAGGACCCCUGCGUUGAGAGCACAGAGUCUUAGGCACCAGGGAAAUCCCAAGACCUUACUAGUUUUUAAGCUCCUUAAGGACCACCUACCUGAUCCAACCGUAUCAUUCUCCUGAAAAACCCUGAAGGCUCCUCACUGACUUCCAAAUUAGGUACCAUGGGGUUAUACAUUUGUGCAUCACAGAAGUAUGUGGCCCCUGAGACAGUAUAUAAGCUCUACAUUUCUGGAAAACAGCAACAGCUAAGGAAACCCUCACCAUGUUUGUUCUGCAAAUGGGUAACUACAAAAGACCAGUCUGUCUUCCAUGGAAUAUUCCAAGAUGGCCAGUGCCGAGUAACGUGGGAGAAUAAACUUGUGGCUGCUUCACUUCACAAACACCCAGGAGGGACAUCUUGAUGUAGACAAGCUCCUGAAACAAAUGUACACUGUGCCAUCACCAGCACGGAUACACUGAAAACACCCUUGCCGGCACAGACCUUCCCUAUAACAAGGGUUAUUUAUGUCCUUGGGUAUGGCCCUAACCCACAAACCUCUGCCUGCUGUCCCUCAGAGUAUCUUAAAAAGGCUAAAUUACAUGUGAAAAGAUGAUCAAUGUCGCUAAUCAUCCGGGAAAUACAAUGAGAUAUCACCUUACACCUGUCAGAAUAGCCAUCAUCAAAAAGGACACAAAUAACAAACGUGGACGAGGUAUGGAGAAAAGGGGGCUCCUCUACAUUGUUGGUGGGAAUGUGAACUGGUGCAGCCACUGUGGAAAAAAGUAUGGAGGUUUCUCACAAAACUAAAAAUAGAACUACCAUAUGACCCAGAAAUUAUACUGCUGGGUAUAUAUCUGAAAAACAGAAGCACUAAUUUAAAAAGAUAAAUGUAUCCCAGUGUUCGUAGCAGCAUUAUUUACAGUGCCAAGAUAUGGAAGCAGCAGAAGUGUCCAUCACAGAGGAAAGGAUAAGGAAGACAUGACGUAUAUAUAUAUUUGCACACACACACACACAUAUGCACGAUGGAAUGUUACCUGCCCAUAAAAAAGAACAAAAUUUUGCCAUUUGCAGCAACACGGAUAGACUUGGAGGUCAUUAUGCUAAGUGAAAUAAGUCCGAGAAAGACAAUACUAUCGAUCACAUAUAGAUAGUGAUAGAUUUAUAGAUCGCUAGGUGUAUAGACAGCUCGCUCUAUCGAUAUAUUUAUCUAUUGAUAGAUCUAUAGUGAUAGGUAGAUAGAUAGUGAUAGAUAGAUAAAUAUAACAAACUUGUGAAUAAAGCAAAAAAAAAGAAGCAGAAUCACAGAAACAGAGGAGAGACUAAUGGGGGGGAGGGGAGGCCAUAUAGGGAUAGGAGAUUAUACAAUUUAAAAAAGGGUUAUUAUGGCAUUAUAUGAAAUCAUGUGUGUGAAGCUUUUGAAAAUUGUAAAGCACUACAGAACUGAACAAAUCUUUCAUUCAAUAAAAAAGGAAGGUUAAAUCAUCUUACCCCAACACUGGUUGCAAUAAUAGGAUUCUACAGUGCUGAUUAGUCCCAACCCAUUCACCCCAAUAACUCAUAUUUAUUAGUACAUGGCGACUGAACAAUAAAGCAUUUACCAC
Long non-coding RNA from Bos taurus (domestic cattle), 1931 nucleotides. The record is from Ensembl. NCBI's taxonomy places the organism in Eukaryota, Metazoa, Chordata, Mammalia, Artiodactyla, Bovidae.